UGGGGAAUAUUGCACAAUGGGGGAAACCCUGAUGCAGCGACGCCGCGUGAACGAAGAAGGUAUUCGUAUCGUAAAGUUCUGUCCUAUGGGAAGAUAAUGACAGUACCAUAGAAGAAAGCUCCGGCUAAAUACGUGCCAGCAGCCGCGGUAAUACGUAUGGAGCGAGCGUUGUCCGGAAUUAUUGGGCGUAAAGGGUACGCAGGCGGUUUAAUAAGUCGAAUGUUAAAGAUCGGGGCUCAACCCCGCAAAGCAUUGGAAACUGAUAAACUUGAGUAGUGGAGAGGAAAGUGGAAUUCCUAGUGUAGUGGUGAAAUACGUAGAUAUUAGGAGGAAUACCAGUAGCGAAGGCGACUUUCUGGACACAAACUGACGCUGAGGUACGAAAGCGGGGGGAGCAAACAGG
RNAcentral lists this ribosomal RNA (403 nucleotides) under bacterium. RNAcentral describes it as "partial 16S ribosomal RNA". It matches the Rfam family "Bacterial small subunit ribosomal RNA", at positions 355 to 776 of the family's 1533-position model. The record is from RNAcentral. RNAcentral also lists the same sequence under 1 other name.